Molecule: long non-coding RNA, 1888 nt
Organism: Oncorhynchus tshawytscha (Chinook salmon)
Lineage: Eukaryota; Metazoa; Chordata; Actinopteri; Salmoniformes; Salmonidae
Source: Ensembl
AGCGGUCUUUAUAAAUCAGAGAAGAUCAGAGCGAUCUUUAUAAAUCAGAGAAGAUCAGAGCGGUCUUUAUAAAUCAGAGAAGAUCAGAGCGGUCUUUAUAAAUCAGAGAAGAUCAGAGCGGUCUUUAUAAAUCAGAGAAGAUCAGAGCGGUCUUUAUAAAUCAGAGAAGAUCAGAGCGGUCUUUAUAAAUCAGAGAAGAUCAGAACUGUCUUUAUAAAUCAGAGAAAAUCAGAGUGGUCUUUAUAAAUCAGUGAGGCCCCACACUGCUACAUUAUAACUGGCCAGGGGCCCCACACUGCUACAUCAUCAAUGGCCAGGGGCCCCACACUGCUGCAUCAUAACUGGCCAGGGGCCCCACACUGCUACAUCAUCACUGGCCAGGGGCCCCACACUCCUACAUCAUAACUGGCCAGGGCCCCACACUGCUACAUCAUCACUGGCCAGGGGCCCCACACUGCUAAAUCAUAACUGGCCAAGGGCCCCACACUGCUACAUCAUCACUGGCCAGGGGCCCCACACUGCUACAUCAUAACUGGCCAGGGGCCCCACACUGCUACAUCAUCACUGGCCAGGGGCCCCACACUGCUACAUCAUACCAUUAAUAUCACAUCAUAACUGACCAGGGAGCCCACACUGCUACAUCAUCACUGGCCAGGGGCCCCACACUGCUACAUCAUCACUGGCCAGGGGCCCCACACUGCUACAUCAUACCAUUAAUAUCACAUCAUAACUGACCAGGGGCCCCACACUGCUACACCAUAACUGGCCAGGGGCCCCACACUGCUACAUCAUAACUGACCAGGGGCCCCACACUGCUGCAUCAGGCUUCGUUAUUGUCAGGCUCAUUAGAAUAUGAGUCAUUAUCAUAUUGUUGCCAAGGAGCGAUUUCAGUGUUUCUACAUCUGGUUUGCAUAUCAUUGAUUUAAAGAACAGAGUUUGUUUGUCCUGUCUCGGGGUGAUCACACGCACGCACAGACCGGAAAUUGAAAACUUCCGAAAGGAAGGCUACUGCCCUCCAAACGUGGACACAUAUGGAUGCAUACACAACACACACACACACACACACACACACACAACACACACACACAACAAAUACACAACACACACAACAAAUACACAACACACACACACAACACACACACACAACACACACACAUGUGCACACCACACACUCUCUCUUUAUCCAUAUGACCAAGUCAAAGACCAGCCUUCUAUAAUGCCAGGAGUUUGAAGAUGCAUGAAGAAACCAUACAGAGCAUUCAGGAAAUAUUCAGAGCCCUUGACAUUUUUACACAUUUUCUUACGUUUCAGCCUUAUUUUAAAUUUAUUAAAUAGUUUUUUUUCUCAUCAAUUUACACACAAUACCCCAUAAUGAUAAACGCAAAAACUGUUCUUUAGAAAUGUUUGCAAAUUUAUUACAAAUUUAAAAAACUGAAAUAUCUUAUUUACAUAAGUACUCAGUCCUUUUGCUAUGAGACUUGAAAUGGAGCUCAGGUGUAUCCUGUUUCCAUUGAUCAUCCUUGAGAUGUUUUUACAACUUGAUUGGAGUUCACCUCUGGUCCUCUUCCUCUGGUCCUCUUCCUCUGGUCCUCUCCCUCUGGUCCUCUCCCUGUGGUCCUCUACCUCUGGUCCUCUCCCUCUGGUCCUCUCCCUCUGGCCCUCUCCCUCUGGCCCUCUCCCUCUGGUCCUCUCCCUCUGGUCCUCUCCCUCUGGUCCUCUCCCUCUGGUCCUCUCCCUCUCCUCUCUGGUCCUCUACCUCUGGUCCUCUCCCUCUGGUCCUCUCCCUCUGGUCCUCUCCCUCUGGUCCUCUUCCUCUGGUCCUCUCCCUCUGGUCCUCUCCUCUCUGGUCCUCUCCCUCUGGUCCUCUCCCUCUGGUCCUCUCCCUCUG